GGUUAAGCGACUAAGCGUACACGGUGGAUGCCCUGGCAGUCAGAGGCGAUGAAGGGCGUGCUAAUCUGCGAUAAGCGCCGGUAAGGUGAUAUGAACCGUUAUAACCGGCGAUACCCGAAUGGGGAAACCCAGUGUGACUCGUCACACUAUCAUUAACUGAAUCCAUAGGUUAAUGAGGCGAACCGGGGGAACUGAAACAUCUAAGUACCCCGAGGAAAAGAAAUCAACCGAGAUUCCCCCAGUAGCGGCGAGCGAACGGGGAGGAGCCCAGAGCCUGAAUCAGCAUGUGUGUUAGUGGAAGCGUCUGGAAAGGCGCGCGAUACAGGGUGACAGCCCCGUACACAAAAGCGCAUGUGCUGUGAGCUCGAUGAGUAGGGCGGGACACGUGGUAUCCUGUCUGAAUAUGGGGGGACCAUCCUCCAAGGCUAAAUACUCCUGACUGACCGAUAGUGAACCAGUACCGUGAGGGAAAGGCGAAAAGAACCCCGGCGAGGGGAGUGAAAAAGAACCUGAAACCGUGUACGUACAAGCAGUGGGAGCACAGGUUUACCUGUGUGACUGCGUACCUUUUGUAUAAUGGGUCAGCGACUUAUAUUCUGUAGCAAGGUUAACCGUAUAGGGGAGCCGUAGGGAAACCGAGUCUUAACCGGGCGUUAAGUUGCAGGGUAUAGACCCGAAACCCGGUGAUCUAGCCAUGGGCAGGUUGAAGGUUGGGUAACACUAACUGGAGGACCGAACCGACUAAUGUUGAAAAAUUAGCGGAUGACCUGUGGCUGGGGGUGAAAGGCCAAUCAAACCGGGAGAUAGCUGGUUCUCCCCGAAAGCUAUUUAGGUAGCGCCUCGUGAAUUCAUCUCCGGGGGUAGAGCACUGUUUCGGCUAGGGGGCCAUCCCGGCUUACCAACCCGAUGCAAACUGCGAAUACCGGAGAAUGUUAUCACGGGAGACACACGGCGGGUGCUAACGUCCGUCGUGAAGAGGGAAACAACCCAGACCGCCAGCUAAGGUCCCAAAGUCAUGGUUAAGUGGGAAACGAUGUGGGAAGGCCCAGACAGCCAGGAUGUUGGCUUAGAAGCAGCCAUCAUUUAAAGAAAGCGUAAUAGCUCACUGGUCGAGUCGGCCUGCGCGGAAGAUGUAACGGGGCUAAACCAUGCACCGAAGCUGCGGCAGCGACGCUGAUGCGUUGUUGGGUAGGGGAGCGUUCUGUAAGCCUGUGAAGGUGGCCUGUGAGGGUUGCUGGAGGUAUCAGAAGUGCGAAUGCUGACAUAAGUAACGAUAAAGCGGGUGAAAAGCCCGCUCGCCGGAAGACCAAGGGUUCCUGUCCAACGUUAAUCGGGGCAGGGUGAGUCGACCCCUAAGGCGAGGCCGAAAGGCGUAGUCGAUGGGAAACGGGUUAAUAUUCCCGUACUUGGUGUUACUGCGAAGGGGGGACGGAGAAGGCUAUGUUGGCCGGGCGACGGUUGUCCCGGUUUAAGCGUGUAGGUGUGUGUUCCAGGUAAAUCCGGUUCACUUUAACACUGAGGCGUGAUGACGAGGCACUACGGUGCUGAAGCAACAAAUGCCCUGCUUCCAGGAAAAGCCUCUAAGCAUCAGGUAACAUCAAAUCGUACCCCAAACCGACACAGGUGGUCAGGUAGAGAAUACCAAGGCGCUUGAGAGAACUCGGGUGAAGGAACUAGGCAAAAUGGUGCCGUAACUUCGGGAGAAGGCACGCUGACACGUAGGUGAAGUGAUUUACUCAUGGAGCUGAAGUCAGUCGAAGAUACCAGCUGGCUGCAACUGUUUAUUAAAAACACAGCACUGUGCAAACACGAAAGUGGACGUAUACGGUGUGACGCCUGCCCGGUGCCGGAAGGUUAAUUGAUGGGGUCAGCGCAAGCGAAGCUCCUGAUCGAAGCCCCGGUAAACGGCGGCCGUAACUAUAACGGUCCUAAGGUAGCGAAAUUCCUUGUCGGGUAAGUUCCGACCUGCACGAAUGGCGUAAUGAUGGCCAGGCUGUCUCCACCCGAGACUCAGUGAAAUUGAACUCGCUGUGAAGAUGCAGUGUACCCGCGGCAAGACGGAAAGACCCCGUGAACCUUUACUAUAGCUUGACACUGAACAUUGAGCCUUGAUGUGUAGGAUAGGUGGGAGGCUUUGAAGCGUGGACGCCAGUCUGCAUGGAGCCGGCCUUGAAAUACCACCCUUUAAUGUUUGAUGUUCUAACGUGGACCCGUGAUCCGGGUUGCGGACAGUGUCUGGUGGGUAGUUUGACUGGGGCGGUCUCCUCCUAAAGAGUAACGGAGGAGCACGAAGGUUGGCUAAUCCUGGUCGGACAUCAGGAGGUUAGUGCAAUGGCAUAAGCCAGCUUGACUGCGAGCGUGACGGCGCGAGCAGGUGCGAAAGCAGGUCAUAGUGAUCCGGUGGUUCUGAAUGGAAGGGCCAUCGCUCAACGGAUAAAAGGUACUCCGGGGAUAACAGGCUGAUACCGCCCAAGAGUUCAUAUCGACGGCGGUGUUUGGCACCUCGAUGUCGGCUCAUCACAUCCUGGGGCUGAAGUAGGUCCCAAGGGUAUGGCUGUUCGCCAUUUAAAGUGGUACGCGAGCUGGGUUUAGAACGUCGUGAGACAGUUCGGUCCCUAUCUGCCGUGGGCGCUGGAGAACUGAGGGGGGCUGCUCCUAGUACGAGAGGACCGGAGUGGACGCAUCACUGGUGUUCGGGUUGUCAUGCCAAUGGCACUGCCCGGUAGCUAAAUGCGGAAGAGAUAAGUGCUGAAAGCAUCUAAGCACGAAACUUGCCCCGAGAUGAGUUCUCCCUGAGACUUAGAGUCUCCUGAAGGAACGUUGAAGACGACGACGUUGAUAGGCCGGGUGUGUAAGCGCAGCGAUGCGUUGAGCUAACCGGUACUAAUGAACCGUGAGGCUUAACCUUACAACGCCGAAG
Molecule: ribosomal RNA, 2920 nt
Filed under: Salmonella enterica
Lineage: Bacteria; Pseudomonadati; Pseudomonadota; Gammaproteobacteria; Enterobacterales; Enterobacteriaceae
Description: partial 23S ribosomal RNA
Rfam family: Bacterial large subunit ribosomal RNA
Source: RNAcentral